AUGCGCUCGACCUCCACCUCCACUGGACGGAGGAGAGGGACCCCGCUGCUGCCGUCGCAGUCAGGUCGCGCUGCGUCCCGCGCCGCCGCCGCUUCUCGGCGGAGGAGAGGAACCCCGCCGCCGACGAAGGGCCGAGCCCCCUGCGUCUCACGCCGCCGCCACCGCCGCUGCCUCUGCUCGACGGAGGAGAGGAACCCGGCCGCCGACGAAGGCCGAGCCCACUGUAUUUCACGCCGCCGCCGCUGCUUGAGGAAGGAGAGGGACCCCUGUGGCGGCGAGGAGGAGAGAGGAGGGAGGGAUGGGGACGAUGGAGGCGGGGCAGGAUGA
Molecule: ribosomal RNA, 327 nt
Filed under: Triticum aestivum (bread wheat)
Lineage: Eukaryota; Viridiplantae; Streptophyta; Magnoliopsida; Poales; Poaceae
Description: partial small subunit ribosomal RNA
Source: RNAcentral